This 429-nucleotide ribosomal RNA is filed under the name Gemmatimonadota bacterium. RNAcentral describes it as "Gemmatimonadetes bacterium partial 16S ribosomal RNA". It matches the Rfam family "Bacterial small subunit ribosomal RNA", at positions 355 to 776 of the family's 1533-position model. The record is from RNAcentral. Lineage: Bacteria; Pseudomonadati; Gemmatimonadota.
UAGGGAAUCUUCGGCAAUGGACGAAAGUCUGACCGAGCAACGCCGCGUGAGUGAAGAAGGUUUUCGGAUCGUAAAACUCUGUUGUUAGAGAAGAACAAGGACGUUAGUAACUGAACGUCCCCUGACGGUAUCUAACCAGAAAGCCACGGCUAACUACGUGCCAGCAGCCGCGGUAAUACGUAGGUGGCAAGCGUGGUCCGGAUUUAUUGGGCGUAAAGCGAGCGCAGGCGGUUUCUUAAGUCUGAUGUGAAAGCCCCCGGCUCAACCGGGGAGGGUCAUUGGAAACUGCGAGACUUGAGUGCAGAAGAGGAGAGUGGAAUUCCAGGUGUAGCGGUGAAAUGCGUAGAUAUAUGGAGGAACACCAGUGGCGAAGGCGGCUCUCUGGUCUGUAACUGACGCUGAGGCUCGAAAGCGUGGGGAGCAAACAGG